RNAcentral lists this ribosomal RNA (314 nucleotides) under uncultured fungus. Its description in RNAcentral is "eukaryotic LSU rRNA". The stretch from base 1 to 114 matches the Rfam family "5.8S ribosomal RNA", at positions 42 to 154 of the family's 154-position model. The record is from RNAcentral. Lineage: Eukaryota; Fungi.
AACGCAGCGAAGGGCGAUAAGUAAUGCGAAUUGCAGAAUUCAGUGAGUCAUCGAAUCUUUGAACGCACAUUGCGCCCUUUAGUAUUCUGAAGGGGCAUGCCUGUUCGAGCGUCAUUAUCACUAAUCAAGCCUUGGCUUGCUGUGGGUCUCUUGUCGUUGAACCGACAGGCCCUAAAGAUAAUGACGGCGUUAUUUGGACCCUAGAUGCAACGAGCUUUCAUUAGCACGCGUUUAGUCGGACCUUUUAGCCCGGUCUUUUUAACCAAUUUUCUAAGGUUGACCUCGGAUCAGGUAGGAAUACCCGCUGAACUUAA